GGGCAUCUGACUGCUUAUUGCACCACAUGUGUUUUUUAUUGAACAAAUUUCUUUGGUGGCGGGAGCAAUCCUACCGCCAGAGGUUAUAACUAAACCAAACUUUUUAUUUACAGUCAAACUUGAUUUAUUAUUACAAUAGUCAAAACUUUCAACAACGGAUCUCUUGGUUCUCGCAUCGAUGAAGAACGCAGCGAAAUGCGAUACGUAAUAUGAAUUGCAGAUAUUCGUGAAUCAUCGAAUCUUUGAACGCACAUUGCGCCCUUUGGUAUUCCAAAGGGCAUGCCUGUUUGAGCGUCAUUUCUCCCUCAAACCCCCGGGUUUGGUGUUGAGCAAUACGCUAGGUUUGUUUGAAAGAAUUUACGUGGAAACUUAUUUUAAGCGACUUAGGUUUAUCCAAAACGCUUAUUUUGCUAGUGGCCACCACAAUUUAUUUCAUAACUUUGACCUCAAAUCAGGUAGGACUACCCGCUGAACUUAAGCAUAUCAAAAGCGGGAGGAAA
RNAcentral lists this ribosomal RNA (500 nucleotides) under Candida tropicalis. RNAcentral's name for it is "eukaryotic LSU rRNA". The stretch from base 144 to 297 matches the Rfam family "5.8S ribosomal RNA". The record is from RNAcentral. Lineage: Eukaryota; Fungi; Ascomycota; Pichiomycetes; Serinales; Debaryomycetaceae.